GACGAAGGUGGCAAGCGUUGUUCGGUAUCACUGGGCUUAAAGCGUGUGUAGGCGGAAGAGUAAGCGUCUUGUGAAAUCCCCCGGCUUAACCGGGGAAUGGCGUGACGAACUGCUCUUCUUGAGGCAAGUAGGGGUGCAUGGAACUCUUGGUGGAGCGGUGGAAUGCGUAGAUAUCAAGAGGAACGCCAGUGGUGAAAACGGUGCACUGGGCUUGUCCUGACGCUGAGACACGAAAGCGUGGGGAGCGAACGGG
Molecule: ribosomal RNA, 253 nt
Filed under: uncultured bacterium
Lineage: Bacteria
Description: partial 16S ribosomal RNA
Rfam family: Bacterial small subunit ribosomal RNA
Source: RNAcentral